Molecule: ribosomal RNA, 254 nt
Filed under: uncultured bacterium
Lineage: Bacteria
Description: partial 16S ribosomal RNA
Rfam family: Bacterial small subunit ribosomal RNA
Source: RNAcentral
UACGUAGGUGGCAAGCGUUGUUCGGAUUUACUGGGCGUAAAGGGCGGGUAGGCGGCCACCGCAAGUCAGUUGUGAAAUCUCCGGGCUUAACCCGGAAAGGUCAACUGAUACUGCGGGGCUAGAGUGCAGAAGGGGCAACUGGAAUUCUCGGUGUAGCGGUGAAAUGCGUAGAUAUCGAGAGGAACACCUGCGGCGAAGGCGGGUUGCUGGGCUGACACUGACGCUGAACUGCGAAAGCUAGGGGAGCGAACGGG